CUCCUAUACUACAGAUGAUAACUACUUUUCUUGAUUAUUCAUCCAUUCUACAUGCUGAACCACCUUUUCAGUAAUUAUCUAUCCUUGUUUAUACUAUAUACUAGGUAUCUAUAUUCUGAAAAUAACUACUUAUUCUACAUAGUCCUACUCCUAACUGUGCAGCAUCCUCGCAAACACUCAAUUGAUACCUAUCUAAAAAUUAUCUAAUAAAUCUCCACAAAAAUUGUGAUCUCUCUGGCCUAUCUAAUUAAUCAAUUGCCAUAGUAUCUGCUAUUGGUU
RNAcentral lists this long non-coding RNA (279 nucleotides) under Physcomitrium patens. RNAcentral's name for it is "long non-coding RNA (PPAT_LNC004065)". The record is from RNAcentral. Lineage: Eukaryota; Viridiplantae; Streptophyta; Bryopsida; Funariales; Funariaceae.